GACGAACGCUGGCGGCGUGCUUAACACAUGCAAGUCGAGCGGUAAGGCCUUUCGGGGUCCACGAGCGGCGAACGGGUGAGUAACACGUGGGUGAUCUGCCCUGCACUUCGGGAUAAGCCUGGGAAACUGGGUCUAAUACCGGAUAUGACCUCCUAUCGCAUGGUGGGUGGUGGAAAGAUUUAUCGGUGCAGGAUGGGCCCGCGGCCUAUCAGCUUGUUGGUGGGGUAAUGGCCUACCGAGGCGACGACGGGUAGCCGACCUGAGAGGGUGACCGGCCACACUGGGACUGAGACACGGCCCAGACUCCUACGGGAGGCAGCAGUGGGGAAUAUUGCACAAUGGGCGAAAGCCUGAUGCAGCGACGCCGCGUGAGGGAUGACGGCCUUCGGGUUGUAAACCUCUUUCAGCAGGGACGAAGCGCAAGUGACGGUACCUGCAGAAGAAGCACCGGCUAACUACGUG
This 462-nucleotide ribosomal RNA is filed under the name uncultured bacterium. RNAcentral describes it as "partial 16S ribosomal RNA". It matches the Rfam family "Bacterial small subunit ribosomal RNA", at positions 28 to 507 of the family's 1533-position model. The record is from RNAcentral.